RNAcentral lists this unclassified non-coding RNA (1309 nucleotides) under Hevea brasiliensis (rubber tree). The record is from RNAcentral. Lineage: Eukaryota; Viridiplantae; Streptophyta; Magnoliopsida; Malpighiales; Euphorbiaceae.
AAAAAAUUAAAAGUUCCAACACUAAGUCCUUUUAGUAAGGGAAGCAAAUUGUUUGUCCUUGUACCCUGAAGAGUGAAGACCCUACUUGAACCUUCUCAGGAUCCCAUUUUAGAUCCCAUAAGGUCAGAUCGCUGUUGAUCCCAUGAAGAAACUCCAAUCUAAAACCAUCGUAAGAAUCCAAAAUCAGAUCAAGCAAGCGGUAGAUAUAUAGAAUCCAAUGUGAUUCAAAUCAUUAUUCUGCUUUCAAAGAAGGACCCAACUCCACAAUAACGUUGAAGGAUGUGGGAAGAAGAAUAAAAAGGUUAGAUUUUCUCCCUCUCUGUGGACUCUUUCUCACUCCUCUUUUUAUUAGACCGUUGUCAAAGCAAGCCCUCCCAAAAUCAACUACAAAAGCAAGUAGGAAGGAACAAAGAAAACAGAGAACCAAGAAACUGGCCCAUCUCUCAAAUCCAUCAAAUAUGGGGGAAGAAAACUACACUCUCCAAUCUCUCUUCCAUGCUCUCGACCCCAUGUCCCUAAUCCUUUCUCACAAUUCCUUAGACUCUGACCAACCGGUACCUUUGAAACUCACCACAGAUAGUUACAUCAUGGAGAGAGGACCAAGAUACAGAGCAUAUGCAGAGCUGCGAGAAUCUAAGCUGAGAAUGAAGAUCUUAAGGCAACAAGAAAGAGACGAAAGUGAUUUCAAACAAAUUCCAGCAAAGAAACAAGUCAAAUUUCAACCCAAUUUGACUAGUUCAAGAAAAGGGUCUUCUGUUUUGGCCCAGUCAGUGCCUGAUUUCUCUUGUGAGUUAAGAAAAGAGAAUAGAAAACCGCCGGCAGAGUUGACUCCUCCAUCGAAGAAAUGGUCCAAGGUAAAUGGGAUUUUGUCGAAUUCCAGAGGAAGUAAGUCAGCAAGUGCUGGAGAGAAAAGGAAUGGAAAUGGAGGACUAAUGGCGAGAAAGAGCUAUGCAAGUGUGGAAGAAUUGAAGGGAUUGUCAAUGGCUGCAGCCACUGCUAUAAAUGGCGAAAACAGGGGAGGAAGAGGUAGCAGAGGAAUUGGCAAGACAGUGCUGGGUCACAGGCAAUUUUGAUUUUGAUUCCAUGGUAAUUUCAUAUAUGAUGCGAGAGAUCGGUUAUGUUUUAUUAUUUUUUUUCUUUCUCUUGGGUUGUUUAAUUGGAUUUGCUGUUCCUGUUGCUGCUACGAUUCUUUGGUUAGCUGAGAGUAUGAUGGAUUGUGGAUUGUAAGAUUGUAAAGAUAUGGAUGUAAUCAUAUUUAACAUAUGAUUUAGAGGCAUUUUAUGAUAAUCUUUUGUGAUUGAUUCUCAGG